RNAcentral lists this ribosomal RNA (439 nucleotides) under uncultured bacterium. RNAcentral's name for it is "partial 16S ribosomal RNA". It matches the Rfam family "Bacterial small subunit ribosomal RNA", at positions 338 to 795 of the family's 1533-position model. The record is from RNAcentral.
CCUACGGGAGGCAGCAGUGGGGAAUAUUGCACAAUGGGGGAAACCCUGAUGCAGCGACGCCGCGUGAGUGAAGAAGUAAUUCGUGAUUUAAAGCUCUAUCAGUAGGGAAGUAAAUUACGGUACCUGAGUAAUAAGCUCCGGCUAACUACGUUCCAGCAGCCGCGGUAAAACGUAGGGAGCAAGCGUUAUCCGGAUUUACUGGGUGUAAAGGGGGGGUAGACGGCAGUGCAAGUAUGGAGUAAAAUGCGCGGCUCAACCCCCGGAUUGCACUGGAAACUGUACGGCUGGAGUUCAGUAGAGGUAAGUGGAAUUCGUAGUGUAGCGGUGAAAUGCGUAGAUAUUAGGAGGAACACCAGUUGCGAAGGCAGCUCUCUGGACUGUAACUGACACUGAGGCACGAAAGCGUGGGGAGCAAACAGGAUUAGAUACCCCAGUAGUC